Aquaspirillum sp. LM1 is the source of this 28-nucleotide non-coding RNA. NCBI's taxonomy places the organism in Bacteria, Pseudomonadati, Pseudomonadota, Betaproteobacteria, Neisseriales, Aquaspirillaceae. The record is from Rfam.
GUUCACUGCCGAAUAGGCAGCUUAGGAC